This is a long non-coding RNA of Pseudophryne corroboree (corroboree frog), 773 nucleotides long. RefSeq lists it as uncharacterized. NCBI's taxonomy places the organism in Eukaryota, Metazoa, Chordata, Amphibia, Anura, Myobatrachidae. The record is from RefSeq and is a predicted model, not a curated record. The transcript is spliced from 5 exons.
CUGGUGCUUUAUCACAGUGAUAUUUAUCACUUUUCAGGCUUAGUACAUCUCCCCCUCAGAGAGGACUGGCUGCGUGUAUCAGGCCAGCAGCAGCAGCUCUCCUCUGUGUUUGCUCCUCGGCUCUCACUGCUGCCUUCCCACACUGUCCUGGAGCUGGGGCCUCCAGUCCACUAGCCAGGCUGCCGGUCCGUGUCAGAUUUGAAAUAGCGGCGGUCAUAGGUGGACCGGAGCCGGACUGAAGGCUGUUGACCAGAGCCGCCUCCCCUGCACCGCAGCCCACAGCCGCCUCCUCCGCAACGCCGCCGCCCACAGAUUCUUCCUCCUCACUGCCGCCGACCACAGCAUCCUCAUCCUCCGCACCGCCGACCACAGCCUCCUCCGCACCGCCGCUGCUCAUUAGCGUCUCCAUGGCCACACAGGAGGGAGCCGCGACGUCACUUCCGGUUCCGCUGGUGCGAGCGUUGACGCUGGACGGGAUGCCCGAGUGGUGUGGCCAGAGGAGAACGAGCGUGGGUAAUCAUGCAAGGGGGCUGCUGUGAUGCGGAGAUUGGAGUACAGCACGCUGCACUGUGUGUGAAGUAAAACAUGCGUUGCCAUGGUCACGCAGCCCACGGAGCAAUGAUACGUCACUUCCGUCUUAGAUGUGACACACAGAAUACCGGACAGGAAGUGCGGCUGGCGUGGAGAUCAGAAAGAGGAGGGGGGGGUGUAUUUAUUGUUCAUUGUUGUCACUGUGUGUUUGUCCUGAAGACGGGGAGGUGGUCCCCGAAACG